AACGAACGCUGGCGGCGUGCUUAACACAUGCAAGUCGAACGUGAAAGACUUCGGUCGAGUAAAGUGGCGAACGGGUGAGUAACGCGUGGGUAAUCUGCCCUCGGGCGGGGGAUAACCUCUCGAAAGGGGGGCGUAAUACCGCAUGAGACCACGGCUUCUUGGAGCUGUGGGAAAAGGUGGGUCGCAAGACCAGCCACCUGAGGAUGAGCCCGCGUACCAUUAGGUAGUUGGUGGGGUAAUGGCCUACCAAGCCUGAGAUGGUUAGCUGGUCUGAGAGGACGAUCAGCCACACUGGGACUGAGACACGGCCCAGACUCCUACGGGAGGCAGCAGUGGGGAAUAUUGCGCAAUGGGGGGAAACCCUGACGCAGCAACGCCGCGUGUGUGAAGAA
This 392-nucleotide ribosomal RNA is filed under the name uncultured bacterium. RNAcentral's name for it is "bacterial SSU rRNA". It matches the Rfam family "Bacterial small subunit ribosomal RNA", at positions 29 to 412 of the family's 1533-position model. The record is from RNAcentral.